Molecule: long non-coding RNA, 350 nt
Organism: Lytechinus variegatus (green sea urchin)
Lineage: Eukaryota; Metazoa; Echinodermata; Echinoidea; Temnopleuroida; Toxopneustidae
Exons: 3
Source: RefSeq, a predicted model, not a curated record
UGAUCCAUUACUAGAGAUAUGUAAGACUCCCAAGCAAGGUUUGGAGCUCAAAAACCUGAUCUUGGCUACAGCAGCAGAAAAUGAAGACACCAGGAAAAUGAUCAAAUCAUGUGGAGCACUUCUGUUGAUUCCUACUAUUUUGGAAGAGAAGGCAUUGCUUUGUCAGCAUAGCCAGGAUAAAAAACGGAACAAUCGCCAAAAUCAUCUACAAAAGUAAGCCCGACAGUGCAGGUCUGACUCUGAGCAGUGAUCAUGAAAAAUUCACGGAAAUUCUGCAAUCAUCAUUCUAUAUUACAGCAGAGAAUGAAGUCAUCUGCGAGACAACCACCUACCUCAUGUCAGCAGUCUCU